AAAUUUGGAGGCACCGCUGAGAUGUAUUUUCAUGUGAGCACCGGCCCAUAUUCCUGGAACGGACAACGAGUGAGAGACAUUGGGAGAGUAGCUAGCUAACGUUAGCAGGCUAACCACCUAACGGAGUGUAGCUAUCUUGCCAUUGCCUGCAUUGUCGUUGUUGCCACGUGAGUAGGACAAUAUGAGUCGAGAGAGGGAAACGUUGGAUGAAAUCGAACAGAGUUUAUGGACUUUAACUGAGGACAAUUUACGGCACCUGUGUGUAGUUGUGGAAUAGGAGGUGUAGAUGACUGAAGUAAAAGGAAAGAGACAUCGCGCUUUGCGGCGCAAAUUGAUGGAAGAUUACUGUGAGAAGGAAGAUUUAAUGGAAUCAGAGGAUGAGGGAGUGUCUUGCCUGCUUCAACUGAAAGACGAAAUCAAAGGAAUAUCGGACUCUGAGGAUACUGUGAAAGUCUGCCUUACAAAUCCCAACCAGUCGGCGCCACGAGGCAAGUGGACAGCAAUAUGGAACGCCGUUUGAGUCUUUGCGUGUCAAAAAGAUACACGUCAAAUAACACUAUUUGACACGUCAAAUAAGCUUCUUUAGCAAUCAGGACCUGAAUAUGACUCCAGGUCACACAAUAAUUUAACACGUUCAUUAAUUUUGUACGUAGUUAUUGCACAUUGAUUACAUUCUCACUCGUAUUUCAUAUGCCACAAAGAUUCACCGAUACAUAUGCUAUGAGUCAAAGAUUUUGGCACUGAUGAUCACAUUUGCUUAAAGGUCGUUUGGACUCCGCCCAGGUCUCAGGUACUGAUGAAAGACUUUCACUCAACUUCUGUUCUUCCGAGGUAAAAUUAGCUAGUUAGUUAACAAUAGCAGCCCAAUUUCUUGAAAAUUGUAAAUCUACCAUCUCUGAUUGCACACCAGACUGCUGCUCACGGACAGAAGAGAUGGACUUCAACCAUCAAUAGCCAGUGUCCUGUCAAGCGCCUUUGGAGGGGAGGCGGUAUCACAUCACCAAGGAGCAGCUUGAGUUCCUCAUAGAUUGUCAUAUGACCAUCAGACAAAUGGCAGAUGUUCUCAAUGUGUCGCACUCUGUGGUCAAGUUGCGCAUGAGGUGUAGCAUUGUUAUCCAUGGUGCUGUGGAUGGUUACAGCAGACUUGUUGUGUUUCUGAAGGCCUCUGACAACAACAGGACCGCCACAGUCAUGGAGUCAUUCGAAGCAGCCAUCACCAGCUACGAAGUACCAUCCCAGGUGAGAUGUGACCGGGUGGUGAAAACAACCGCAUCUGUGCCUUCAUGGAGCAGUUCAGGUGUGCUGAGAGGGGAAGUGCCCUCCGAGGAAGGAGCACUCACAACCAGAGGAUAGAGCGGCUGUGGGGGGACGUCUGGCAUGGAGUCUCCGACGUUUACCAUGACCUGUUCACCUUCUUGGAGACGGAGCAGAUCAUCGACAUCAACAAUGAGGUGCACCUGUGGGCACUGCACUUUGUGUUCCUGCCACGGGUGAACAGAGAUCUUGCUGUGUUUGCCAGUCAGUGGAACCACCAUGGGCUGAGGACUGAACAACGGCAGUUGUUCGUCUCGGGUUCCCUGGCAAUGCAGAGGGCCAAUCGGACAGCAGUAAGGGAUUUCUUCGCCCCAAUUUCAACCACCAUCAGCUCUCAAGCC
Molecule: RNA transcript, 1655 nt
Organism: Salvelinus namaycush (lake trout)
Lineage: Eukaryota; Metazoa; Chordata; Actinopteri; Salmoniformes; Salmonidae
Exons: 3
Source: RefSeq, a predicted model, not a curated record